UACGGAGGGACCAAGCGUUGUUCGGAUUUACUGGGCGUAAAGGGCGCGUAGGCGGCUUGACAAGUCACUUGUGAAAUCUCCGGGCUUAACCCGGAACGGCCAAGUGAAACUGUCAUGCUAGAGUGCAGAAGGGGCAAUCGGAAUUCUUGGUGUAGCGGUGAAAUGCGUAGAUAUCAAGAGGAACACCUGAGGUGAAGACGGGUUGCUGGGCUGACACUGACGCUGAGGCGCGAAAGCCAGGGGAGCAAACGGG
Molecule: ribosomal RNA, 253 nt
Filed under: uncultured bacterium
Lineage: Bacteria
Description: partial 16S ribosomal RNA
Rfam family: Bacterial small subunit ribosomal RNA
Source: RNAcentral